GGUCUGUCCAUGUCGAACCUGUGUAGUGUAGUGCAGUGUAGUCGUGUUCUUUCUGUCGCACACCAUUUCCGCGACGGGGGGAGGAGUGCAGGGCUGUCAUCAUUGAUCGUGUCCGUACGGCUUGCUACUCGUUCAAGGUCCAUAGCCUCAGGGGUGGUGAGGCCUCUUCGUCCAUUCACGGGUCGUAUCGGGGCCGCUUGCCCCCGGUCAAUGGUGAGAUCUUGCUCGUGGGCUCUACGUGCAGGGGCCGUCGUCAAUCUACCAAUCUACUAAAGUGUCAAAGGCCUUACAGAGAACUCCACAGGAUCGUCCACACCUCCAACGUACUAC
RNAcentral lists this long non-coding RNA (330 nucleotides) under Androctonus crassicauda. Lineage: Eukaryota; Metazoa; Arthropoda; Arachnida; Scorpiones; Buthidae. The record is from RNAcentral.